GCCUCAGUGGCACAGUUUAGUGCUUGGGCUGCUAACCAAAAGUUUGGCAGUUCGAGUCCACCCAGAGGCU
RNAcentral lists this transfer RNA (70 nucleotides) under Loxodonta africana (African savanna elephant). It matches the Rfam family "tRNA". Rfam says of the family: Transfer RNA (tRNA) molecules are approximately 80 nucleotides in length. The record is from Rfam by way of RNAcentral. Lineage: Eukaryota; Metazoa; Chordata; Mammalia; Proboscidea; Elephantidae.